UGCCGAUAGUUGAGGUCAAUGCAAUUUACCCUUAUUAUUCACUAUGCUGCAGAUUUGGUUUUGGUGUCCGAUUGACUAUUGUGAUACCUUUCCGGAAGCGUAACGGCCCUACGAGUCAAACUCAUCGCUAAUGCCAUGAUGUAAGGGCCUUUUUGGCCAUCCGAGUCCGUUUAGGGCUUCAAAAUGCAGUUUUCUUAUUUCCGAUUAAUUGACCGUUUCGAUCGAGCCCUUAACGUUGUCGAAUCCAAUUGAAUUUUUUACCAUAGACAUCUUUCGUCAUAAUGAUCAUAUCGACGGUCGAAUUUUGGUUUAUAAAUUUUAGUCAUCGGAAUCACGUGUCUACUAUUUACCGUUAUUAUUCCCUAUGGGGAGCCCUAUCGUCGGAAGGUAAAUGUCUCAAAAUUUUUAUAUGGGCAGUUGCGCCUCAUCUACGUGAGAGUUUUUAGUGUGGAAGGUUUGACCAAACCACGUAAUAUAGAGGGAGAUAUGAGUGUUUUCGUGUGAUAAGUGACGAUGGAUUAGGGUUAACCGUUUCGAUCGAGUCCUUAACGUUGUUGGAUCCAGUUAAAUUUUUUACCAUAGACAUCUUUCGUCAUAAUGAUCAUAUCUGACGGUCGAAUUUUGGUUUGUGAAUUUUAGUCAUCGGAAUCACAACGUGUCUACUAAUGUUGUAUAACUUGUUUAGUUGGUUAUACGACUUUGUGAACCAACUCUAUAUAGAAAGCAAAAUUAUCAAAAAUCUCGUGAAAUAAGAUGUGUUCAGAAUGGUGAAAUACGGCUAUGGUUCAAAAAUCACGUAAAUCAGGUAAAGUCUUGGUGCCGAUAGUAGCGGUCAACCCUAUUUACCGUUAUUAUUCCCAAUGGGGAGCCCUAUCGUCGGAAGGCAAAUGUCUCAAAAUUUUUAUAUAGGCGGUUGCGUCUCAUCUACGUGAAAGUUUUUCGUGUGGAAGGUUUGACCAAACUACGUAAUAUAGAGGGAGAUAUGAGCGUUUUCGUGAAUUUAUAAACUUGAGUCUAUCUCUAACGACCUUAAUCUUCUUAUUCGUAACAUGGAUUAACUCUGGGCCGCAAAGCUCUUUUUCCCCUACUUCAUUCCAACACAAAGGCGUGCGACACUGCCUCCCAUAAAGAGCCUCAAAGGGAGCCAUACCAAUGCUAGAAUGAUAGCUAUUAUUAUAAGCAAAUUCCAUCAACGAUAAGUUUUUAUCCCAACUCCCUCUGAACUGCAAGGCACAAGCCCUCAACAUAUCCUCCAAAGUCUGAAUAGUCCUCUCGGACUGCCCAUCAGUCUGAGGAUGAAAAGCAGUGCUGAAGAGUAAUUGGGUACCUAAAGCUGCCUGAAAAGCUCCCCAGAAUUUAGAAGCAAAUCGAGGAUCCCGAUCUGACACUAUUGAUUCAGGAACACCAUGAAGCCUCACAAUUUCAUUCACAUAAAACUCCGCCAAUUUAUCCAAUUUAUACUUCUUUCCCACUGGCAAGAAAUGUGCAGACUUGGUGAGUCGAUCCACAAUCACCCAAAUACCGUCAUGCCCUUCACGGAUACGAGGUAAACUAAAAACAAAAUCCAUGGUGAUGUGGUCCCACUUCCACACUGGAAUAAGCAACGGCUCAAGCAAUCCAGAAGGCUUCUGCCUUUCAGCUUUUACUUGCUGACAAACCAGACAUCUACUCACAUAAGCUGCAAUUUCCCUCUUCAUGUUUGGCCACCAAUAAUAAUCCUUCAAAAUCCGAUACAUUUUUAUGCUACCCGGAUGAGCAGCAUAUGCAGAGCUAUGAGCUUCCUCCAUAAUCUCACUCUUCAACUCUUCAUUUCUUUUUGGAACACAUAGCCGAAUCUUAAACAAUAGAGUCCCAUCUCUUCUAACUGAAAAAUGAUCGGCUGCGGCUCCAU
This 1891-nucleotide long non-coding RNA is filed under the name Fragaria vesca (wild strawberry). RNAcentral describes it as "long non-coding RNA (FVES_LNC004106)". The record is from RNAcentral. Lineage: Eukaryota; Viridiplantae; Streptophyta; Magnoliopsida; Rosales; Rosaceae.